This 253-nucleotide ribosomal RNA is filed under the name uncultured bacterium. RNAcentral's name for it is "partial 16S ribosomal RNA". It matches the Rfam family "Bacterial small subunit ribosomal RNA", at positions 524 to 776 of the family's 1533-position model. The record is from RNAcentral.
UACGUAGGUGGCAAGCGUUGUCCGGAUUUACUGGGCGUAAAGAGCGCGUAGGCGGUCGAUUUAGUCGCGUGUGAAAGCCCCCGGCUCAACUGGGGAGGGUCACGCGAUACUGAUCGACUCGAAGGCAGGAGAGGGUAGUGGAAUUCCCGGUGUAGUGGUGAAAUGCGUAGAUAUCGGGAGGAACACCAGUGGCGAAGGCGACUACCUGGCCUGUUCUUGACGCUGAGGCGCGAAAGCUAGGGGAGCAAACGGG